RNAcentral lists this ribosomal RNA (397 nucleotides) under uncultured bacterium. RNAcentral describes it as "bacterial SSU rRNA". It matches the Rfam family "Bacterial small subunit ribosomal RNA", at positions 521 to 916 of the family's 1533-position model. The record is from RNAcentral.
UAAUACGUAGGGUGCGAGCGUUAAUCGGAAUUACUGGGCGUAAAGCGUGCGCAGGCGGCGCCGCAAGUCAGGCGUGAAAUCCCCGGGCUCAACCUGGGAAUGGCGCUUGAAACUACGGUGCUGGAGUGUGGCAGAGGGAGGUGGAAUUCCACGUGUAGCGGUGAAAUGCGUAGAGAUGUGGAGGAACACCGAUGGCGAAGGCAGCCUCCUGGGCCAACACUGACGCUCAUGCACGAAAGCGUGGGGAGCAAACAGGAUUAGAUACCCUGGUAGUCCACGCCCUAAACGAUGACGACUAGUUGUUGGAGGAGUUAAAUCCUUCAGUAACGCAGCUAACGCGUGAAGUCGUCCGCCUGGGGAGUACGGUCGCAAGAUUAAAACUUAAAUGAAUUGACGG